CAGCCGCCGCGGUAAUACGUAGGGUGCAAGCGUUAAUCGGAAUUACUGGGCGUAAAGCGUGCGCAGGCGGUUUGUUAAGACAGAUGUGAAAUCCCCGGGCUCAACCUGGGAACUGCAUUUGUGACUGGCAAGCUAGAGUCUGGCAGAGGGGGGUGGAAUUCCGCGUGUAGCAGUGAAAUGCGUAGAUAUGCGGAGGAACACCGAUGGCGAAGGCAGCCCCCUGGGCCAACACUGACGCUCAUGCACGAAAGCGUGGGGAGCAAACAGGAUUAGAGACCCCUGUAGUCCCUGUCUCUUAUAC
Molecule: ribosomal RNA, 301 nt
Filed under: uncultured bacterium
Lineage: Bacteria
Description: partial 16S ribosomal RNA
Rfam family: Bacterial small subunit ribosomal RNA
Source: RNAcentral